This 304-nucleotide ribosomal RNA is filed under the name uncultured bacterium. RNAcentral describes it as "partial 16S ribosomal RNA". It matches the Rfam family "Bacterial small subunit ribosomal RNA", at positions 509 to 807 of the family's 1533-position model. The record is from RNAcentral.
CAGCAGUCGCCGCGGUAAUACGUAGGGUGCAAGCGUUAAUCGGAAUUACUGGGCGUAAAGCGUGCGCAGGCGGUUAUAUAAGACAGAUGUGAAAUCCCCGGGCUCAACCUGGGAACUGCAUUUGUGACUGUAUAGCUAGAGUACGGCAGAGGGGGAUGGAAUUCCGCGUGUAGCAGUGAAAUGCGUAGAUAUGCGGAGGAACACCGAUGGCGAAGGCAAUCCCCUGGGCCUGUACUGACGCUCAUGCACGAAAGCGUGGGGAGCAAACAGGAUUAGAUACCCCCGUAGUCCCUGUCUCUUAUAC